Molecule: long non-coding RNA, 1358 nt
Organism: Phyllopteryx taeniolatus (common seadragon)
Lineage: Eukaryota; Metazoa; Chordata; Actinopteri; Syngnathiformes; Syngnathidae
Exons: 3
Source: RefSeq, a predicted model, not a curated record
CCCCAAGUGAAUUGGACGGAGGAUUUUCAGCACAGUCAUCACAUCUCAAUUACAAAAACAAACAUUUAAGGCUCAUUGAAGGGGUGGUGCUCAUUUGUUUACAUGGAGAGACGGGCCAUGUCCUUCGUGGAUGAGCGACCAGCCCAGGGUCUACCCUGACCCACAAUCCUGAGUGCUAUCGAAAAUAGAUGGAGGGAUGUUUCUGGCUUGCUUGCCUUACCCGAGGGGUUACGUUCCAGAACCUCAGGGCCAAAGACGUAUUUAUGCGUCCAGAAGUGCGUGUGUGUUUCUCAUAAAUGUGACAAAGUACAACAUGACGAGGUUGACGUUCAUCAUGUAAGAGGCCGCUGAAGAACACGAGCCCAUGACUAACGUGCCAUUCUGGUGAGUUUCGUCACUCACGGUGCGUGUAGAUUGCUAAAUACAUUAUUGUUUUGCUAUCAAAAGCCAUUCCUAAAUGUUAUUUUAGCUGGUUUAUUGAAUAAAACCAAUGUUCAUAUGUUAGAGGUGUCACAAAAGCAACAAAUAUUAGCAUCAAAGUUGCUGUUCUGCUUCAAAACUCUCCAGUUUAAGUGAAAUGUCUGAAUUUCGUAAAAUGUUCGUUCCUAUGUUCUACUGCUGAUUACUUAAGAACAGAAAAAGGUAGAAUCAAACUUUUUUUUCCUGGUGAAAGAAAGGAGUCGAUUCUUUGAUUUGGUAGAUUCAGUGUGUAUGUAAUGGUAGAACCCAAUAUUCUGUGGGUCUUGAAAAAUCAGUCAAAAUGCUCUAAAAUAGGACUCCAGGAGUUGUCUUUUUUGAAAAUGGCUGGCAUUAAAUGAGUUCGGUGAAAAUCUGCUAAACAGAAAUACCCUUUAAAAUACAUUCUAAACAUGUUUUUAUAACAGUUACAGUACUUAUUAUUUUUUUAAAGGUCUUUAAACACACUUGUAAAACACUGGAAACACAUUUAAACAAUCUAUUGAAAAAGCGCAAUGGGAAUAGAAUAAUAGAAUAGAAAUAUUGUACAAAGAGUAUUAAAAAAGAGACUAACAACUGUAACAAAAAAAAAGAGAAAUACCACAAACUGAACUGCAAUAUAGCAGGUGUUUACUGUAUAUAAUGAAGUAUUUUAUUAUUGUAUAAAUGUUAUUUAUAUGACAAUCUUUCAUUUGGAUAAUUUACUGCUAGCAUUUUCUGUUUCAUUUUAAAAUGUCAUUCAACCUGUUCCUGUUUACACAAAAGAUAAAUACUUUUUAUGAUUUGCGUUUUGUUCUCUUACCGUAAUCAAACCGUGACCUUAAAACUGAAGUACAUACAGAGCCGUGAUUUUUGCUGUCAAGUUGUCAAACACAUCAAAUACCCAGUUGGAAGAGAUGCAG